Molecule: long non-coding RNA, 1011 nt
Filed under: Homo sapiens (human)
Lineage: Eukaryota; Metazoa; Chordata; Mammalia; Primates; Hominidae
Description: HSALNT0399641
Source: RNAcentral
CAUAAGUAUCUUCAAAAGUACAUGCUAUUUUGGAUCAGGGUUGGAGGAUUCAAAAGAUUCUUCAAGAGCAGCCCCUGGCCUAGAAAUAGGAAAGGAAGUUGAAUAAAUUGUCGUGAUGGACCAGACAUGAGCAGAUAUUACUGGAUCUUGGACAAGUGGGUCUCUAAGGAACAUCAAAGACCCUGAGAAGCCAAAAGUUAUGAAAUGCAUCAGCAGUGGGUUGAAGACAAGACCUCUCCUUUUCCUGCUGACAUUUCUUCCAUGAGCAGUACCCAGACAGCCGACAGAAAGAGCCCAGGAGCUGGGGAAGUUGGGCAGAGUGCCCCCGAAGGAGGAGAUUCCACACAGGCCCUGUGUAUCUGAGAGUUGAGUUGCUGAUUUCAGAGGUGUUUGUAUCAUUGCUCUAAAUGUGUUUCUGCUCCCCUCCCACCCAAGAUGCUGGUUCAACGGACCAUUUCAUCCUACCAUUAUACAGAACCCACAGGAGCUAGUUACCUGGUCAGUUUGAGAAGUUAAUAUUUAAAAAGACUAAUGGUUGCAUAUGGCUUCCACAGGAAAGAAAUAAUAAGCUAAUGUUAUCUAUUGACUCAAUCCCACAUAUAUUUACAUUUGACAACUUAAAAAAAAAACCUUCGGCUCAAUGAUAGUUUAGCUCAAGUCACUAUGUUAGGAUAUAUAUUUCUUUCAUCUAUGACUAUUUUUGUCUGCACAGUAACCUGCCUCAAGCACACAAAUAUUUGUGUGUCUGGCCUCAAGCAAUUAACGUGUCUCCUAACAUGAGAUAAAGAUUAAAUGAAAAUUCUGUCACCCUGAAAUAAACCUGGAAGCAGAAUUCCUGAAUGUUUGCCAAAUAAGGUGACUAUCAGACUUAAGAUGCUGAACUUUGAAAUGACUGUCAUAGAAACAAAGGCAAGGCAUGGUUGGCGCCCAUUCAACCUGGUCAAUAACAUCCUUAAUUACAGGACAUGGCAUCAUUUUGAUUCACAGUGGAAUAAAAGGCAUCUAUUUGUA